GAGUUCAUGCCCUUAGGGGUAGACCUCCCACCCUUGAUUAUCUUACCACUGUUGCUUUGGCGGGCCGCUUCAGCCACUGGCUUCUAGCUAGUGAGUGCCCGCCAGAGGACCCCAAACUCUAAAUUUUGUAUUGUCUGAGAACUAUAUAAUAGUUAAAACUUUCAACAACGGAUCUCUUGGUUCU
RNAcentral lists this unclassified non-coding RNA (184 nucleotides) under rhizosphere metagenome. Its description in RNAcentral is "partial ribosomal RNA internal transcribed spacer region". The record is from RNAcentral.